ACGCAUGCAUUCAUGUCAGUCCACAAACAGUAAGCACGUAGCAGCCUCGUGGUUUAUGCACCUCCUGAACCAGCAGCCUUCUCUGCCUGCGCAGACUCACUCCACUCCUUUGCAUGCACCCCUUCCCCAGCUUGAGGCAGUGCAUGGGAGCUCUCUGCAUAUGUUUGAGAGAAAGCUGUACUGUAGAGGAGUUAAGGAGCCAUCCAAAAGGAUGGGGGAGGGGGCAGGCGGAGGAAGGACGUGGGAAUGUGUCAGCAUGGUGCCCAUAUAGGGUAUCGCUUCGUCCUCAAGCCGGCAAAUGGCUUAGAUGCGGUGCGCACAAAGACAGCUCUACGCUGCAGAUAUACAUAUUAUAUGUGUGUGUGUGUGUGUGUGUGUGUGUCGAACGCGACGGCCGCUACGCGUACCUCAUCCUUUGGUGCUUGUUUGCUUUGGCGCUUCACCUCCUUCGUCCUUCCUUCGCAUGCCGCUGAGUCAGUCCUCCUGUGCAGGGGCUGUUUCGCCGGUUCGUGACGCGUGUGUCAAUACACUCGCAUGCAUGCACGCGCUUGUUGCUCUGUUACCCCGUCCCCUUUUCACAGCGCCUUUU
Molecule: unclassified non-coding RNA, 589 nt
Filed under: Leishmania donovani
Lineage: Eukaryota; Euglenozoa; Kinetoplastea; Trypanosomatida; Trypanosomatidae
Description: gene:unknown
Source: RNAcentral